RNAcentral lists this ribosomal RNA (407 nucleotides) under uncultured bacterium. RNAcentral describes it as "partial 16S ribosomal RNA". It matches the Rfam family "Bacterial small subunit ribosomal RNA", at positions 28 to 526 of the family's 1533-position model. The record is from RNAcentral.
GAUGAACGCUAGCUACAGGCUUAACACAUGCAAGUCGCGGGACCGGCGCACGGGUGCGUAACGCGUAUCCAACCUGCCCUUCACCCCGGGAUAACCCGGCGACAGUCGGACUGAUACCGUAUGGUGGCGUGUGGGGAUGCGUCCGAUUAGCUUGACGGCGGGGUAACGGCCCACCGUGGCUACGAUCGGUAGGGGUUGUGAGAGGGAGGUCCCCCAGACUGGAACUGAGACACGGUCCAGACUCCUACGGGAGGCAGCAGUGAGGAAUAUUGGUCAAUGGGCGUAAGCCUGAACCAGCCAAGUAGCGUGCAGGACGACGGCCUAUGGGUUGUAAACUGCUUUUAUGCGGGGAUAGGUACCGCAUGAAUAAGGACCGGCUAAUUCCGUGCCAGCAGCCGCGGUAAUUC